AUAUAAUGCACACAUUCAUUCUUACUUUUAUUUACAAAUUAUGGUAUAUUUUGAAAUUUGGUCAUGAAAAUGGAACCAUCCAGCACAGUCAGCGCAGUGAUAUCCUGGCACUAUUCCAUACUUUCAACUAUUCAACAGUUCGUCACGUCCCGUGCUUUGUGUCUUUCUCCUUUUCAUUCCAUCCUUUCUCGAAAAUUCGUUUCUACCGCACUGGCUGUAACUGAAUGGCCCAUCACAUGCCUAUAUUACAUACAUUCCAGCACACGCACACUUCUUGCAUUCACGCUCUCGUGCACUUAAAAGAAAGUUAAACAUUACAGAGGAUUACUAAAAUAAUAAGGAACACACAAGUGUACGUUAUGCCAUGUAAUACGGACACAAGCUAAGAAAUGAAUAUGAAAGAUAAUGAGGACUGUUGGAGAGGAGACAGAAGAACGUGACCAAAUUUAAAACCUGCGAGUACUCGAUACAUACUGUUGGACAUAUAUAAAUACAUUUUUAUUUUCGUCACUCGAAUAAUCUUCAUGGCCAUACAAUAAUUUCUCUAAGCUUAGAGGUAAGUAUUCAUGAAGAUUUCUAAACAUUUCAACUCUUUGAUCAGUAUAUAUACUGCAUGUAAAAAAGAAAUGAUGAGCAUUUUCAUUAGGAUAUCCACAUGCACAAAUAGGAGAGUUGAUUAGGUUAACAUUAAAGAGAUCAUCAUUUAAAGGGCUGCAUUUAUGACGGAGUUUGGUUAGUAAAAUAUUUAACUUACGGUCACCGGCUAAAUAAAAAACAGGCACUUUAAAUGUUUCAUUUUGUUUUUUGAGGCAGUUUGUGAAGCUCUUAAAAGAAUGUGCAGUUUUAAUAUUAGUGUCAAGCUCAUUCCAUAGUCUUAAAGUAGAAGGUAUGAACGAGUUGAGUGAAGAUUGUAAGCGGAAAUUAGGAAUGGAAUAGUUCUCAGAGUUUCUCAAAUUAUAAGGAGUUAAAGUAGCUACUAGUGGCGGGAGAAGGUCAGUUAGGUAAGAGGGAGUCAUAUUGUUGUGAAUUUUGUAGAAAAGUUGAAGUUUGCGGCGGGUGCGACGUUGAGACAAGACUUCCCAACCAGUUUCGAAGUAAAGAGACGCUCUACUAGCAAAAGAUGGCAGGCCGGUGACAAUACGCGCCGCUUCUAACUGGAGUUUUUCAAGUUUAUUUGCAUCGGCAGUUGUACAACCGUCCCAAACUUCGCAACAGUAUUCAAGCAGAGGGAGUAUAAAACAUCCUGCCUACGACCCUGCCGCCAGAUUCCGUCCUCUACUUAACUUCGUCAACAGACAGUUCCUGCGCUUCAUCAUACCGAGGAGGGCACUGUAUGUUGAUGAAUCCUUGGUGAGCACAAAAGGCCGUUGUGUGAUGCGCCAGUACAUUCCCUCCAAGGCCGCGAAGUACGGAAUUAAGUUUUGGAUACUCUGUGAGUCAGCGUCAGGGUACGCUACGGAAAAACAGACCGAUGCCCCUGACUAUACGGAAUGCGGAUCCGCAGCCAGGGGCCGCUGUAUACAUGAGACAGGGCAACUUCCUGUGUCUGGCAGCUCGUGAUGUAGAGGGCAAAAAGCCGGUGCGGCUCUUAUCUACGCUCCUGCCAGCGCAGGACCUUGGAUGUGGGCGUCCUAGAAUUGUCAAUGCGUAUAACCAUAAUAUGGGUGCCAUUGACAUGAAUGAUGGGUUAUUGAGUGCAUAUGGUGUCCAGCGCAAAACCAAGAAAGUCUGGAAAAAAGUGCUUCUACACAUUUUCCACAAAAUUAUGCAAAAUGCAUACAUACUCUACAGAGAGAACACAACUGAUCGCCCCGUAUUGACUCGACUUAAUUUCAUCAUGCAGGUCGUAGAGUCCUUAUCGGGAUGCAAUGUCCCGGGCAUGCCAAGGCGCGCACGUCGAAGAGUCCAGAACCUAGAAGUACUACCGCGUGGAAAAGAAAAAGAUUGUUGCGUGUGUUCAUCCAAUGUGCGGCAUGGCAGAGGUGUGCGCCACAGGAGCAGAACAAUUUGCUCCAUAUGUAAAAGAGGCCUCCAUAGGCACUGCCUCGAAAGGCACAACGCAUGCGCAGAACUUUAGCAAGACAAUCUGGAAAUAAAUUUAUGCUGAGCAAUUUAUGAAAUAUUGUUUUACU
RNAcentral lists this unclassified non-coding RNA (2132 nucleotides) under Mizuhopecten yessoensis (Yesso scallop). Its description in RNAcentral is "piggyBac transposable element-derived protein 4-like, transcript variant X1". Lineage: Eukaryota; Metazoa; Mollusca; Bivalvia; Pectinida; Pectinidae. The record is from RNAcentral.